GACGAACGCUGGCGGCGUGCCUAACACAUGCAAGUCGAGCGAAGUGUUUGAAGCUGAUUCUUUCGGGAAGAAGUUUCAAAUAUCUUAGCGGCGACGGGUGAGUAACGCGUGAGGAACCUGCCUUCCACAAGGGGAUAGCCUCGGGAAACUGGGAUUAAUACCCUAUGACACUUAUUUACUGCAUGGUAGAUAAGUUAAAGCGAAUUAGCGGUGGAAGAUGGCCUCGCGUCCCAUUAGCUAGUUGGUGAGGUAACGGCUCACCAAGGCGACGAUGGGUAGCCGGCCUGAGAGGGUGAACGGCCACACUGAAACUGAGACACGGUCCAGACUCCUACGGGAGGCAGCAGUGGGGAAUAUUGCACAAUGGGCGAAAGCCUGAUGCAGCGACGCCGCGUGAGUGAAGAAGGCCUUCGGGUCGUAAAACUCUGUCCUAAGGGACGAUAAUGACGGUACCUUAGGAGGAAGCCCCGGCUAACUACGUG
RNAcentral lists this ribosomal RNA (482 nucleotides) under uncultured bacterium. Its description in RNAcentral is "bacterial SSU rRNA". It matches the Rfam family "Bacterial small subunit ribosomal RNA", at positions 28 to 507 of the family's 1533-position model. The record is from RNAcentral.